This 252-nucleotide ribosomal RNA is filed under the name Desulfovibrio desulfuricans. RNAcentral describes it as "partial 23S ribosomal RNA". It matches the Rfam family "Bacterial large subunit ribosomal RNA", at positions 561 to 816 of the family's 2925-position model. The record is from RNAcentral. Lineage: Bacteria; Pseudomonadati; Thermodesulfobacteriota; Desulfovibrionia; Desulfovibrionales; Desulfovibrionaceae.
UGCUUACAAGCUGUGGGAGCACCCUUGUGGUGUGACCGCGUGCCUUUUGCAUAAUGAGUCAGCGAGUUAAUCUGUACUGCAAGGUUAAGCGUAAGUGGAGCCGUAGCGAAAGCGAGUCUGAUAAGGGGCGUUUAGUAGUGCGGAUUAGACCCGAAACCGGGUGAUCUAUCCAUGAGCAGGUUGAAGCAAGGGUAAAACCUUGUGGAGGACCGAACCAUUAACGGCUGAAAACGUUUUGGAUGACUUGUGGAU